UGACUUGGUUCAAUCUGAGGAAUGCCAACAUUGUUUAGAAAAGCUCAUACUAAGACAGGUGUGAAGGAGGGGGGUGACUGUAAGGAUCUGAUGGAGGCAUUUGCAGCCUGUCUGAAGAGUGCAGCGGAGGCGCCGUGAGGAGAGCUAGACUCACACAAAAUGUCCAAUGCACAGGGUCCUCCAUGUUUCCCAGCAUUCCCUUCUGCACAUCAAGCACUGGGCUGAAUGAUACUGGUGGUGUUCAGCGCCUGGCAGAAACCAUCCACCUCUUUACCUCCCUCCCCAACCCACCUUGAAGCUUAAAUGGUGUCUUCUGAUUUAUACCCCUGCGCUGCUCCCACCGUGGCUGAGUACAUCCAAUUGGUAGACAAUUCUGGAGAGCCUAUGGGUUUUAUGCAAAUUGUCCACUUGAGAUGCAUACAUUUAAAUGGAAUAAUAAAG
RNAcentral lists this long non-coding RNA (441 nucleotides) under Salmo salar (Atlantic salmon). Its description in RNAcentral is "lncRNA (ENSSSAG00000089308.1, ENSSSAG00075008917.1)". Lineage: Eukaryota; Metazoa; Chordata; Actinopteri; Salmoniformes; Salmonidae. The record is from RNAcentral.